GGGGGCUGUGCUGAGGCGGUUUUUGCGGAAAACUUUCCCAGCGUGAUGCUUCAGGCUGACCUGCCAGGCAGCCCUGCACCCAACAGUGACGCUGCCACAGGACUCGCUUGCAAUGCAGUAGCCCCACAGAUUAAGUAAAACGCUACCCGGCAGCUGCCAGGUACAUACCUUGCCUGCAGCAAUGUCCUGCGUGAGGUGGUAGUUAGCAGCUGAGAUGCUUUUGCGAGGAACAGCACAACGAGGACCUGCAGAGGCCAAGCGUUCUGCGCACAGCUCGAUGACCGUGCUGAAGCGGAGCCCUCGGGAAGCUGCAGAGCAGUGCUGUGGCUGGUCUGCGUGCUGGGCAUCGAGGGGCAGCUUCCAGGCAGCCCCGGGAAAUCUCCUCACUGCUGCCCGUGGUCGGAGGAUGACACAAGGCCCCACGUCAAAGAGCACGGCGGCCAGACCUCACCAGGCUUUCCUGUGUCUCAUCUGGGAUUCAUCACAGUAAGUCUGACUAGCUCCAGGAGCAGACCUCUGUUUCCUGUGAGGCAGUGAGAGUGACAAUCUGCAAUCGCUGAGACACCUAAAAACAAAAUGUUUAUGUAGAAUGAAAGUGUUUUGGAGGGGAAAAAAAAGUUUGUAUUAUCUCUAACCCAUGAGCAGGGGAGACACAUUUCAGAUUUCAACUCCCUGCAUGCUUCUAGGCAAAUGCAAACAGAAAUCCCCCCUUAGCCCACUGAAAAAGUUCUUCGACCUUUUGGUGUCUGUCUGAUCCUUUGCACUGUAGGUUGGACAAAUAAGUCUUGCAGUCCAUUCCUGUCAUAAAUCCUGCCCCCAUCUGUUUAAUGGCUUAACUUUCAGUCAUCCAACUGUACGCUGGGAUCCACUGUGUCUCUUCCCUGUUUGUACAGCCCCUGUUAAGUCACAUGGAAACUCUUACUGCAGCCUGCCAAAUGUCCCUUGUUCCUCAAGCAAACCUCAGAUAGUGAUACUCCAUCUCAGAAUUUGUAACAUUUUACGUCACCUUCAUGUCCAGCAAAAAGGUUAUAUUAGACACACAUUUAAUGCUCGCAAGCAGUUCAGCCAUCUGUUUAAAAAUCAUGCAAAAGGCUGAGGUAACCCCGGCAUCAACAACUGAAGGUCAUGUUCCAUUUCAGUCUGAACUGAUGCAAGCUAGGACUUUGGAGUGGUUGGAAAAGUAAAUCACAUCUUAGGUGCUUGGUGAUUAAACCUCAGCAUGGACUCCAUGUGUUUUACUUUGUUUUUCAGCAUGGCUUCCUUUAUUCUGUGCUUAACGCUAGACAGAAGAACAGUUUUAUUAAUGUCUCAAAUUGCUCAUUUAUGCUAAUGUAAAACUGAGAUACCUAGCAAAUUUCCACUCCAGAUCUGUCAGAAAGAGCAGAAUUUCUCCUAAUACAAGCAAAUUCAAAGACUGUGUUUGGCUUUUUCAGAGGAGUCAAGCUGAUACAGGACUAUAAACUCCAUUGAUUCUCAGUGAUUUUCACAUUACUGACUCCCUUCAGGUAUAUUUGAAAGGUCUAUUGUUUUUGUACAAUUCCUCACAAUAAUCCACAUCUGUGGAGGCAUUAACUUUCAAUUUACACUUCAGAAGAAGUCAAACUGAAGUCAGGCUUAUGCUAGUCGUGUCACCCAAAUUUGAUCUAUAUUCAACCAUUUUCCUAGUCAAAAGCAACCUAGACAGCUAAGCCACCACUCAUGAUUUAUUCAGGGUAAGACUCUGCUAGGAGUGAGAUACAAAGAUUAGAGAUCUUCUUACAGAUAACAACACAAAAUAUGCACAAGUUUUGCAAGCGCAGUUGAAAAGUGUUUUAUUGCUUGCUGCUGUCCACUGGAUGCUUGAAUCUUUAGCUUAAGAUCUAAUGUAACAUUUUGCUUUAUAUCCCACAGAGGCUAUGCUUUCCCUGCAAAGAAGCUGUAAGUAGUAGUUUUGGUUUGACUUGGAGUAAGGAGAGCCAAUGCAAAGCCAUACUGGCUUACAGCAAGGUGCAGUACCGUGUAUUCACCUGGGACUCCUGAGGGCCUCGCUCUGGGUCCCAGCACGGCAGCCUGUCCCUUCCUGCUCUUUCCAAGUAAUUGCAGAAUGCAGGGACUAAGCCUUCAGACAGCUUAGCCUGCAUCCACACUGUUACUAGCAGUGAGAACAAGCCGUAUCUAUGCUUAGCACUUAGACCUGUAUGAUGGGACAGGUCUGCUGUGGUGUAAAUUACUAAUACAUACCUGAGCUUGAGGUUUAUGUAUUUGCAGUUAGAAAUCAGAUGAAGAGCAACAUCUGAAUUAAUAAUGAAGUGAAGACAAACUCAGAUAUAGUGAGAACGGACAGCUUAUUACACAAAACCACCCAUGAGAAAACAGCAGUAGGAAAUGUGUAAACCACAUACCGCUUCUGCCACCAAAACCUCAAUGAAGUACUUGUCUCAGAGCCUAAUAAAUAAAUACUAGCUUUAUUAGGCA
Long non-coding RNA from Anser cygnoides (Swan goose), 2454 nucleotides. The record is from Ensembl. Lineage: Eukaryota; Metazoa; Chordata; Aves; Anseriformes; Anatidae.